AGGGGGAUGCCCUGGUCUUCUAGGAAAGGGACGUACACCAAAACGAAAGGCAAAACUUUAGCACACCGCGACAAAGUUUUGAUUUCCCAAGAGCACAAGCUCAGACAGAACAAACACCGGGGGAAGUGAAACAUCUCAGUACCCCGAGGAAGACUGAUCAACCGAGACUCCGGCAGUAGAUGUGAUCGACCCCGGACCAAACCUCUCUUUUUUUGGUGAAAAACCCCAAAGAAGGUCGACCUUCUUCUUUUCUUGAACCGUGGUGGAAUCCCGGGCCAAAGAAGGUGAAAGCCCUGUACAGGAAAGACUGGGUCGACAGAGAAAAGAAUGAGUACAUCGGAUCACACCGAUGGAAGACAGGGGGACCACCCUCUGAAGGUUGGAUACCUAGAAGAACCGAUAGCGCAGGAUGUACCGUGAGGGAAGGGUGAAAAGAACCGAUCCGGAAGACUUCUUCCGAAGAAUGAGGACUUGAAAAGAACCUGAAUCCUGGUGCACAUCAAGCGGUCGGAGCC
RNAcentral lists this ribosomal RNA (515 nucleotides) under Prasinoderma coloniale. RNAcentral describes it as "partial Bacterial large subunit ribosomal RNA". It matches the Rfam family "Bacterial large subunit ribosomal RNA", at positions 22 to 581 of the family's 2925-position model. Lineage: Eukaryota; Viridiplantae; Prasinodermophyta; Prasinodermophyceae; Prasinodermales; Prasinodermaceae. The record is from RNAcentral.